AUACGUAGGGGGCGAGCGUUGUCCGGAUUUACUGGGCGUAAAGGGUGAGUAGGCGGUUGUAUAUGUCAGGUGUAAAAGGCUAUGGCUUAACCAUAGUUCGCACUUGAAACUGUAUAACUUGAGUGCAGGAGAGGUAAGCGGAAUUCCUAGUGUAGCGGUGAAAUGCGUAGAUAUUAGGAGGAACACCAGUGGCGAAGGCGGCUUACUGGACUGUAACUGACGCUGAGUCACGAAAGCGUGGGUAGCAAACAGGAUUAGAUACCCUGGUAGUCCACGCUGUAAACGAUGAGUGCUAGGUGUUGGGUAGCGAUACUCAGUGCCGUAGCAAACACAAUAAGCACUCCGCCUGGGGAGUACGGCCGCAAGGUUGAAACUCAAAGGAAUUGACGGGG
This 392-nucleotide ribosomal RNA is filed under the name uncultured bacterium. Its description in RNAcentral is "partial 16S ribosomal RNA". It matches the Rfam family "Bacterial small subunit ribosomal RNA", at positions 523 to 918 of the family's 1533-position model. The record is from RNAcentral.